UACGGUUGGAUCUGGGUUCCACACAGGCCACCUCCAAUCUAUUUACCUAUUCUUCCGUACAUGUAUGUAAAUUCAAAUACCAAUUUAAAAGACAAGGGGAAAGGAGCUGUGAGGGUUUCAGAUGGCUUUCGCCGGUGAGACGGGGGAAGGGGAAGCAAGGGGUUUUCAAUAGCAAUCGAUCGUCCGUUCAAGGUUUCUCCAGUUGGAGCUCUGCUGGGAGUUUUGAUCGUCAGGCUACGAGCAUUUCUAUCUCUGAGGAAGGGGGUUUGGAUCGCACUUGUGGUGGAAGUUCGGUUCCAUCUAAGAGGCUUGAGCCAUCUUGGGGAAAUAAGAAAUCUCCAGUGGAUGUUGGGUGAAUGUUGUACAGGGCAGUCGGUGCUUUAGGUGGGAGACCUCGCAUGCGUCCCUGAUGGACAUCGCUGCUUUGGAGGAAAAGUUUUCGUAAUUUGUUGUGUUUACAAAUGAGAAGGUUGAGAAGGCAUGUAUCCGAUGGUAGAAUGCUCUUCUCAGUAAGUUAUUGUGGUGUGGGUUUGCUCCUGACUUUAUCCAGAAAGAGCUUCGAUCUAGAUGAAAUAUUCAAGAGGCAUUUCAUGUAUCAGCAUGGGCAAAUGGGGUGAUGGUGUUUUCCUUACCAGAUGAGGCCAUUAGGGAGAGGGUUAUAGAGAAGGGCCCUUGGUCAUUCGGGUAGGGCAGUUGUUAGCUCUAGAGCCUUGAGACUCAAUUUUCGGUCGAGGAAAGAGACUUUUCAGAAGAUAAAAAUCUGGCUUAGGUUAUCAGAUUUGCCUCUCGAGCUUUGGGCCAGAGACAACAUUUUGAAGAUUACCUUAAAGGCAGGUAAGUUUCUUUUCUUGGAUGAAUGGACCAAUUCAACGGCUCGACUAGGAUUUGCUCAGAUAUGUAUUGAGCUGGAUCUAAGCAAAGAGUUUUGUCCGGGUGCUAAGGUGGGUGUAAAGGGCACAACAAUGUGGUAGGAGUUCAUAUACGAAGACCUUCCAGAUGUUUGCUAUAGAUGUGGAAGGAUUGGGGUACUGCUGAAUGCAUGCUCCUGCCAAAGGACAAAAGAUGGCCAGUUGUUGGGGCCAUAGAUCCGAGCCGUGCGUAUUUCAGUUGCAUUAAUUUCAGCUUCUGUGGCUAGACAAGCUUCAGUUAACUCUUCACAAAGUACUACGGCCACAGGAACAUCUCAAUAUACCCCAUGGGUGGUGCCUAAGCGAGCAACGAAAAUGGUUUCUCAGAUGACUAUUCAUUUCCCAGAUCAUGUUUCUCUAUCAACUGAAUCUAGGUUUGCUCUCUUAUUGUUUUCAGAUUCUACUGCUCUAGAGGGUAUACAGGCAAUGGAUUGCAUUUUCACAUUCACAUCCAAAGCUGUGUCGGCUGAUAAAUCGGUGAUGGAGUAAAAGAAGCGCUCUCCAAUCAAGGACAAGACUUCUAAGUCUUCUGGCUCCCAAUCUCCACAACAAAAGAUCCUAAUGGUGGAGGAUCAUGUCAGUUCCUCUCGACCACAGCUUAAAGAUCCCAGUGAGAUCCAGUAUAUUUCUCAACAAGAGUCUUCAAAAAAGAAAUUGGCCAUUUAUCUCAAGAGGGUGAAUUUGGCUAAAUCUCGGAUUCUUUUUAGUCCCUCUACAGCAUCUUACGAUAAAGGCUUAAAUAAAAGCUAUGUUUAAUAUUCCUUCAUGGAGAGGCUUUUGUAGAUACCUCAGAGUGCUGGUGGCAGGUACUAGAUAUUGGCCUUCUGAUUUUAUUUUUCUUAUGGAUAGAUUGUUAGCACGAAUUGCUAGUUGGAAGUGGAGGGCUCUGUCAUUUGCUGGAUGAGCAACCCUUCUACACUCCGUGCUUCCGUCUAUUCCACUUUAUGUUAUGUCUGUUGUGCCAGUUCCAUUAUUUGUGCUUGCAAAACUUGAAAAGCAUUUUUGUAGUUUCUUAUGGGGACAUGAAGGUCAUCGACAGAAGCUUCACUUGAUCUCUUGGGCUCAGGUUUGCUCUCCUAAAUCUGUGGGUGGACUUGGUUUGUAAUCUCUAAGCCUUAGGAGACAAGUAUUACUAGGUAAGCUAGCAACUCAUGUUGUUCUCAAUCCUUCUUCUCUAUGGGCCAAAUUGAUAAGGGCUAAAUAUAAAUUCGGGUCAUCCUGGGCCUCAUAUGGUAAGCCUUCACAUUGUUCUCUAAUUUGGAUGGCCAUUGCUAAAAUGGGAUCUCAUCUUCGGUAUGAUUUCAUCUGGUCUAUUGGGAAUGGUAAAUCUAUUCAUGCCUUUUAUGAUCCCUGGAUUCAUCCAAUUCUCCUUUGUGCCUGGCCAACUUUUAUAAACAUGGAUGUGGGGUGGGAGAGCAUAUGGCUUGAUCAAUUAUUUUCUAAUGAUUCUGGUUGGAAUUUUAAUCACUUAUCAUCUCUGUUUUCGGCUGAUAUGGUGACCAUUAUUCAAAGCAUUCCUAUUGCUUUUGGGCACUGGUUGGAUCAGCUUGGGUGGCAUGCAUUCAUAUCCUCGCAUGUCUUAAUUAGAGAGGUUAUGGCAUGUCUCCACUGUGAUAAUUUGUCAGCUGCUGAUUCUAAUUGUACCUGGAUUUGAAAGUUAUCAAUUUCUCAAAGAGUCAAAACUUUCUGUUGGCAACCAUUCUUCCAAAAAAAUUCAUGCAAAAACUUGCUGGUCGAUAGGAGCAUUCUUUCUCUCGAUCAUCAGAUUUGUGACUGUUGUGCUGAUUAUUUAGAAGAUUGCGAACAUGUGAUGUUUCAAUGUCCUUUUGCUACUAAUUGUUGGGAGCUGUUUGCUUAUAUACGUAAUAAAUAGUCGCGUCCUACUUUAUUAACUGAGUUAUUUGAAUUGAUUUCAAUGGGUUGGGAGAGAGAGGGGGUAUCAGUCUUUAUGUAUUUAUUUGGCCUGGCUCAUAUAAAAGGCUCGUAAUGCUCGGGUUUUUGAAGGUUCCUCUGCUACUCUUCAAGAUCUUAUGAGCCAACUAAUUGUAAUGCAUCGCAAUUUAAUCUUUCCUUCAAGGAACUAGGACUAUCUUUACCCUUUACCUCAGAGGAUCUCAUCCAACCUCUUCAUCGUCUGGUAGCCUCCUCCCUUUGGAGUUCUGAAGUUUAAUUUUGAUGGUGCCAUAAAAGCAGAUGGGGCUGCUGCUGCAUACAUCAUUAAGGAUUAUCAGGACCGCCUUAUCAGGGCAGCUGCUCGCCAUUUGCCCAACUGUUCGGUGCCUUAUGCUGAACUGGUUAGUGCUUAGAUGGAGAUUCAUGAAGUUCUAUUUUUUUUGCAGGCUGACUAGCUUUUGAUUGAGGGAGACUCUAUUAUGGUUAUUAGUUGGCUUGCUUAAUCACAGCCUCUUAAGCACCUUUGUGGCCUCUGUUAUAUAAUAUUAUGACGUGGAAAGCAACCUUGCAACUUUGUAUGGUCUCUCGUAUCUUUCCAGAGGCCAACCAGGCUAUUGAUUGAUUGGCUUCAGGCUCUGUUUCUCGACCUUUAUCUUUUUUGCAAUAUGAUAUUUUACUUAGACAGUUAUGUAGGAUCUUGCAGGUGGAUGCUUUGGGUGUUACAUACAUUAGCCAGGCUUAAGCUCGCUUGGUAUUUCAGUGUGCUGAGUGUCAAUUAUUCUAAGUGAAUGAAAUUAGAAUGCUUCAGUUUUAGUCAUCUGAAAUUUUUCUAUAUCAUGAUGAAGAUUUUAUCUUAUAGACUGAUUCUGUAAUGCUUGUUGACAUGUUACAUUAGGUUGAUAUUUUUCUCACAGUUGGCAUUAUCCUAUAUCAUCAGAUAUGGAGACUCUAUGGGUGUGGAUGCCUUUGUCAGCAAAUAUUUUGGUUGCUGUUAUUACUUUACUUCUCAUUCCUUAAUAUGGCCAUUCAAUGUUUUAAUUACUUUAAGACUGCUCUUACUCAACUUUAGUGGUUUCAGCAUCCUCUACUCUGCUAUUUACUACUCCAUUGCUUACUUCAUCACAAAUUCCAGUAUCACUUAUUAUUGGAUUUAUGCAAGCAUCAUAUAUCUAUAUCUCACAGUGUUUCUAACUGCUUGAUUACAGCUGGGGCUACGAUGCUGUCUUUUUGGAACUUACUCUAUUAAUAAUUUAUCCUACAUGCUGUUUUUAUUUCUUUCUUACCUAUAAAUGGUCUAGCUAUUCUAUUUGUACUCUGUUUCUUCUACAUAUAAUAUAACAUGGGAGUUGUCACCAAAAAAAAAGAUACAGAUUUGUAUAUGGGAUAAGAUUCUUUUCUCCAUUAUCUAACCAUUUUUGAAGUAUAAUACAAUAAUUUAACAAUUGAUGAUAAACAGAAUACUUCAAAGUUAAAUUUUUAUUACAUAUUAACUAGUGAAUUUUAAUAAUUUUUGAUAGAAACUUCUAUCAUUAACACCGAUAUCUACAUAACAAACGAAAACUCUAUAUAAACUAAGCUUCCAUAGAGAAACACCCGUCAUUAGUACAAACAUCAUUAAUAUUGGCCCCAUGUGGGAGAUAUAUGGUGAAUGAAAAACUCAAUAUAAGUUAAACCUCCAUUUUAUACAUGCAUACAUAUACAUAUAUAUAUAAUAGAGUAGAUCAAGAUCAAGUUACUUGGUGUAACUCUUGUAGAGUUAUACUUUCUUUUAAAUUGAACACUUAGGGUCCCAAAACAAUUAUAUGAGUCACUAUAUCCAAACUACUUACGCAUAAAAAAUUAUAUGAUUUGUAGACCCUUAGACUAUGCAUCAAACGAUCAAUUUUUUUUAAUAUUUUUAAACUAUCCAAAAUUAGAGAUCAUUAAAUUAUAUGAUUUUUUUGUAUGUAAGUAAUUUAGAAAUAGUAGAGCAUAUUAAAUAGCUUUGGUCAUCGAUGUAAUUAAAACCUUCAUCAUCUAAUCAAAAAAAAAAAGUAAUAACUCUAUUAAAGUUACACCAAUUGUACCUUAAACCCAACUGCAAUAGAUUCAAUAAUUAAGCUAUCUUACACCCAAAAAAAAAUUUAGGAGACUACAUGAAUGUGGAUAACUUUUUUAAAUAUUUUCAUAGAGGUGAAUGGUUUUAAUGAAUUCAUUUAUUUGGAAAUUGAAUGAGCAGUGACAAUUAUAUUUUAAAAUUACAUUAUUGUAAAAAGUUUGUGAUGUCAAGAGUCAUAAAACAAUAUCUUAAUUAUAAAUAAAGAUCAUUAGUUAUAUAAUUUUAAGCUUACUCUACUAUUGUCUUUAUUGAAAGGAUCAAAAUCUAAUUAUUGCUACACAACAAUAUGUGAUCAUUAAAAGCCAUCAAUCCCUCUAGUGUCUCCUAUAACAAAUCAGUACUUAUGUCAAGAAAUUGGUUGUAUUUAUGUGUCAACCAUCCAAUUCAUUUUACCUUAUUGGGUAAUGUUGCAAGUUUAUUUCAAGGCCCUUUUUUUUGGCAUAUAUAUCCUUCUAAAUACUGAAAAUUGUGUGGACCCUCAUAAGUUAAUUAUUACAUGUUUAUCCUUACAAAAUAUUUCUUUUUACAUAUUUACCCUUGAUGUCCUAGUCCACUAUAUUAAUUUAACUAGUAUUUAUUUAACUAGUAUUUUUUUCGCACAUCUACCCUUAUUUUGAUUUUAAGUAGCUCAUUUUUCAUGAUGGUUGGUGGCAUAUGGAUUGUAGGAUAAGCAUACUAAAAGAAAUAAUUUAUAAAGAUAUACACAUAAAUAGUAAAUCUGUAAAGGUCAUAAAUAUGUAGUGAUCAUUUCUCUUCUCCCCCAUUCCAUUUAGGGCAUAUUUGAGUGCUUAAGAUUUAUAAUCUUAGAAUAAAAUUCAUGAUAGAACUAGUGGAUAACCUACACUUUACAAUGAGACUUUAAGUAAAAUACGUUAAAAAAAUAUUGUAAUAUUGAUAAGAAAUACUAAAAAGGUAUAUCCUUUUAAGACCAAAUCAAAAUAUUUUAAAAUGCAUGAAUAUUUAUAACAAAUAAUAAUAUUUUUUAUUCUUUAAAAGUUGGAUGGUCUUCGCUUGAGUUGCAAAAUAGAAAAAAUAAAUGCUAGAUCAUGAAGUUGCCCAUAUCCUUGAACUUAAAAAAAAAAAAAAAA
Long non-coding RNA from Elaeis guineensis (African oil palm), 5987 nucleotides. RefSeq lists it as uncharacterized. The record is from RefSeq and is a predicted model, not a curated record. Lineage: Eukaryota; Viridiplantae; Streptophyta; Magnoliopsida; Arecales; Arecaceae.